Molecule: ribosomal RNA, 372 nt
Filed under: uncultured organism
Description: bacterial SSU rRNA
Rfam family: Bacterial small subunit ribosomal RNA
Source: RNAcentral
CAGAGGGUGCUAGCGUUGUUCGGAAUUAUUGGGCGUAAAGCGCGUGUAGGCGGCUUUGCAAGUUGGGUGUGAAAGCCCUCGGCUUAACCGAGGAAGUGCGCCCAAAACUACAGAGCUUGAGUACCGGAGAGGAUAGUGGAAUUCCCGGUGUAGAGGUGAAAUUCGUAGAUAUCGGGAGGAACACCAGUGGCGAAGGCGGCUAUCUGGACGAGUACUGACGCUGAGACGCGAAAGCGUGGGGAGCAAACAGGAUUAGAUACCCUGGUAGUCCACGCCGUAAACGAUGAGCGCUAGGUGUUGCGGGUGUUGACCCCUGCAGUGCCGCAGCUAACGCAUUAAGCGCUCCGCCUGGGAAGUACGGCCGCAAGGCUA